GGGGCGGUAGUUCAGUUGGUUAGAAUGCCUGCCUGUCACGCAGGAGGUCGCGAGUUCAAGUCUCGUCCGUCCCG
This 74-nucleotide transfer RNA is filed under the name Armatimonadota bacterium. RNAcentral describes it as "Armatimonadetes bacterium tRNA-Asp". It matches the Rfam family "tRNA". From Rfam's summary of the family: Transfer RNA (tRNA) molecules are approximately 80 nucleotides in length. Their secondary structure includes four short double-helical elements and three loops (D, anti-codon, and T loops). The record is from RNAcentral. RNAcentral also lists the same sequence under 4 other names. Lineage: Bacteria; Bacillati; Armatimonadota.